UACAGAGGGUGCGAGCGUUAAUCGGAAUUACUGGGCGUAAAGCGUGCGUAGACGGUUAUUUAAGUCGGAUGUGAAAUCCCCGGGCUCAACCUGGGAAUUGCAUUCGAUACUGGAUAGCUAGAGUUCGGCAGAGGGAAGCGGAAUUUCUGGUGUAGCGGUGAAAUGCGUAGAUAUUCGGAGGAACACCAGUGGCGAAGGCGGCUCACUGGCUCGAUACUGACGCUGAGGUGCGAAAGCGUGGGGAGCAAACAGG
RNAcentral lists this ribosomal RNA (253 nucleotides) under uncultured bacterium. RNAcentral's name for it is "partial 16S ribosomal RNA". It matches the Rfam family "Bacterial small subunit ribosomal RNA", at positions 524 to 776 of the family's 1533-position model. The record is from RNAcentral.